This 1334-nucleotide ribosomal RNA is filed under the name Pronodularia japanensis. Its description in RNAcentral is "16S rRNA". It matches the Rfam family "Bacterial large subunit ribosomal RNA", at positions 583 to 2755 of the family's 2925-position model. Lineage: Eukaryota; Metazoa; Mollusca; Bivalvia; Unionida; Unionidae. The record is from RNAcentral.
CAGAACCCGAGUAAGCUCGAACACGACUGUCCUUAAAGUAAACCCACGCAUACAUAAGUACAAACCCACACAACUUAAAAUCCCACACAACCGCAAGGGCCUAUCCCCUCUAUUCACAAGAAUGGCUUAAUUCCCCUACCUUUUGCAUCAGGUAGUUGCAACAACCCCACCAACCCUUAUGUUGUCCCCCGAAAAGCGAGGAGCUAUUACCAGCAAUAACCAUUAGUGUGUCAUUACUUAAAGUACAGCUGGUAAUAGAAGCAAAAUACCUGACGAAUCGCCUGAUAGCUGGUUGUUCCUCAAAGGCAUAUAAGUGCCCCCCACCAGAAGCAUAAAAGAAACCCUUUGGUGGAGAAAAUCUAGCGGGGACAAGCUCGCUAGAGUUUAGAAGUACACAUAACCAAACCUUCGCGAAUAGGCCUAAAAACAGCCCACAAAAUCCGUUACAGGAAAUGAACUUUCCCACCAAAAUUCACCCUCAACUCUACCCACCAAGGAACCCUGCAGCGCAAUAAAUGCUUCAACGAAACGGCAAACUAUUAGUAUCAUAAAUCAGCUCCCAGAGCACCCUGCAUGUUAUACUCAUCAAACUACAUCCCAGAGUAACCACCGUGAGUAAUGAACUCGGCAAAAUCCUACCCUGCCUGUUUACCAAAAACAUCGUCUCUUGACCCCCACCCAUAAGAGAUACUGCCUGCCCCAUGAUUUAACUAUUAAAUGGCCGCGUUAGCGUGAGCGUGCUAAGGUAGCGUAAUAAACAGCUCUCUAAUUAGGAGCCAGUGAAAGGCAAAACAGGGAAGAACUGUAUCACCCACGGAAAGAUAACUUUUCCUCUAAGUGAAAAGACUUAGAUGAAGGAAAAAGACAAAAAGACCCCGCGGAACUCCCCUCAUAACUUUAAGCCUACCAACACAAGUUGCUAAGGAAUGAGGUUGGUUGGGGCAACCUUGGAGUAGAUAAAACCUCCACAACGGAUCACUAAAACCAAUAAAAAACUUGCUAAGGCACAUACCGCAGUUACCCCGGGGAUAACAGCGUAAUCCAGCUUAAGAGUACGCAUUGAAAGCUGGGUUUGCGACCUCGAUGUUGGCUUAGGGAAAGCAACUUGGCGCAGCCACUAAGAACAUCUGCCAGUCUGUUCGACUGCAAACCCCCUACACGAGCUGAGUUAAGACCGGCGAGAGCUAGGUUGGAUUCUAUCUUUUCCCUCACAACCACACUCUUUAUUGUACGAAAGGACCCAAAGAGGCACACUUGCACAAGUGCUCUACUAAAUCUCUUCAAGUAACACAAACAUGACAAAGUCCACAUCGCUAACCGCUAAUUUACUAGUC